This 253-nucleotide ribosomal RNA is filed under the name uncultured bacterium. Its description in RNAcentral is "partial 16S ribosomal RNA". It matches the Rfam family "Bacterial small subunit ribosomal RNA", at positions 524 to 776 of the family's 1533-position model. The record is from RNAcentral.
GACGUAGGAAGCGAGCGUUAUCCGGAUUUACUGGGCGUAAAGCGUGUGUAGGCGGUUUGACAAGUUGGAUGUGAAAGCUCCUGGCUUAACUGGGAGAGGUCGUUCAAAACUGUCAGACUUGAGAGUGGUAGAGGGAGGUGGAAUUCCGGGUGUAGUGGUGAAAUGCGUAGAUAUCCGGAGGAACACCAGUGGCGAAAGCGGCCUCCUGGCCCAUUUCUGACGCUCAGACACGAAAGCUAAGGUAGCAAACGGG